CUAUAUAACAGGCAAACUAUGCGAAAGCAUGGGACGCAAAGCCACGGGUCUAAAGCAUUUGCAUGAUAGCCGGGCUGCAGAU
RNAcentral lists this non-coding RNA (82 nucleotides) under Paenibacillus sp. Its description in RNAcentral is "c-di-GMP sequence". It matches the Rfam family "c-di-GMP-I riboswitch aptamer". From Rfam's summary of the family: GEMM was predicted in a large-scale screen for bacterial structured RNA regulatory elements. Genes associated with GEMM are involved in a diverse array of functions, including chemotaxis regulation, signal transduction, secretion and chitin. The record is from RNAcentral. RNAcentral also lists the same sequence under 1 other name. Lineage: Bacteria; Bacillati; Bacillota; Bacilli; Caryophanales; Paenibacillaceae.